ACUCAAAUGAAUAGACGGGGACCCGCACAAGCAGCGGAGCAUGUUGCUUAAUUCGAUGCAACGCGAAGAACCUUACCUGGAUUGAACUACGCAGGAAAAGCUACAGAGAUGUAGUGUCCUUCGGGGCCUGCGAUAGGUGGUGCAUGGCUGUCGUCAGCUCGUGUCGUGAGAUGUUGGGUUAAGUCCCGCAACGAGCGCAACCCUUGUCCUAUGUUGCUAACACGUUAUGGUGAGGACUCAUAGGAGACCGCCGUGGUCAACACGGAGGAAGGUGGGGAUGAUGUCAAGUCAUCAUGCCCCUUACGUCCAGGGCUGCAAACAUGCUACAAUGGCUGGUACAAAGGGCUGCGAGACCGCGAGGUUUAGCGAAUCCCAAAAAGCCAGUCUCAGUUCGGAUUGGAGUCUGCAACUCGACUCCAUGAAGCUGGAGUUGCUAGUAAUCCCAGAUCAGCAUUGCUGGGGUGAAUACGUUCCCGGGUCUUGCACACACCGCCCGU
This 497-nucleotide ribosomal RNA is filed under the name uncultured bacterium. Its description in RNAcentral is "partial 16S ribosomal RNA". It matches the Rfam family "Bacterial small subunit ribosomal RNA", at positions 899 to 1397 of the family's 1533-position model. The record is from RNAcentral.